AUUGAACGCUGGCGGCAUGCUUUACACAUGCAAGUCGAGCGGCAGCGCGGGGCAACCUGGCGGCGAGCGGCGAACGGGUGAGUAAUAGAUAGGAACGUGUCCGGGAGUGGGGGAUAACUAGCCGAAAGGUUAGCUAAUACCGCAUAUUCUGUGCGCAGGAAAGCGGGGGCUCGCAAGACCUCGCGCUCGCGGAGUGGCCUAUCUCCGAUUAGCUAGUUGGUGAGGUAAAGGCUUACCAAGGCGACGAUCGGUAGCUGGUCUGAGAGGAUGAUCAGCCACACUGGGACUGAGACACGGCCCAGACUCCUACGGGAGGCAGCAGUGGGGAAUUUUGGACAAUGGGGGCAACCCUGAUCCAGCCAUGCCGCGUGCGGGAAGAAGGCCUUCGGGUUGUAAACCGCUUUUAUUCGGGAAGAAGGAGUGGAGGUUAAUACCCUUCAUGACGGACGGUACUGGAUGAAUAAGCACCGGCUAACUACGUGC
This 483-nucleotide ribosomal RNA is filed under the name uncultured bacterium. RNAcentral's name for it is "bacterial SSU rRNA". It matches the Rfam family "Bacterial small subunit ribosomal RNA", at positions 30 to 508 of the family's 1533-position model. The record is from RNAcentral.